RNAcentral lists this ribosomal RNA (255 nucleotides) under Salmonella enterica subsp. enterica serovar Senftenberg. RNAcentral's name for it is "partial 16S ribosomal RNA". It matches the Rfam family "Bacterial small subunit ribosomal RNA", at positions 1000 to 1255 of the family's 1533-position model. Lineage: Bacteria; Pseudomonadati; Pseudomonadota; Gammaproteobacteria; Enterobacterales; Enterobacteriaceae. The record is from RNAcentral.
CCAGAGAUGGACUGGUGCCUUCGGGAACUGUGAGACAGGUGCUGCAUGGCUGUCGUCAGCUCGUGUUGUGAAAUGUUGGGUUAAGUCCCGCAACGAGCGCAACCCUUAUCCUUUGUUGCCAGCGAUUAGGUCGGGAACUCAAAGGAGACUGCCAGUGAUAAACUGGAGGAAGGUGGGGAUGACGUCAAGUCAUCAUGGCCCUUACGACCAGGGCUACACACGUGCUACAAUGGCGCAUACAAAGAGAAGCGACCU